This 28-nucleotide non-coding RNA is filed under the name Homo sapiens (human). Lineage: Eukaryota; Metazoa; Chordata; Mammalia; Primates; Hominidae. The record is from RNAcentral.
UCCGAAGGGAACUACCAUAGUACAGCGC